RNA transcript from Solanum verrucosum, 2761 nucleotides. It is a transcript of the gene named inactive poly [ADP-ribose] polymerase RCD1-like, with no coding region annotated. NCBI's taxonomy places the organism in Eukaryota, Viridiplantae, Streptophyta, Magnoliopsida, Solanales, Solanaceae. The transcript is spliced from 7 exons. The record is from RefSeq and is a predicted model, not a curated record.
AUAUAGGGGAGUUCUAAGCAAGGAUGUCUUUCGCAUACAAUAAUAUGAUAGGACGAAGGGAUGGGUGGAUUGGGAUAGAGAAAAAUCUCCCCUCUUUGAGAAGAGAAAUGGUGGACUAUGAUGUGGGAUCAAUAUAUUUAGGAAAAAUACUGAUGGAGAACAUUGACCUCUCUUUUUCUUUUUUAGAAAAAAAUUAUUGUUUUUUUCCCUAUUAUUUAUUGCUUUGUAGUGCAGAAGUUUGAUUUCAAACAUCUAUUUAUGAAUUGUACAUUUGCUUUUGAUUUGGAAACUGACAAAAUUUACAUUUCAGAGGAGGCCAAUUAGAUUAUCUCUGUUAGCUUAGCAUUGUGCAAAAGGUAAGAAUUUGUUGACUUUACACCGACUUUAUGGAAAAAAUUGACUUGUACAGCAAUUGCCGUGCAGUGCAGAAGUUGGUUAGUAUCUCAAACUAACCUAUGUUCUGUGCACACUUUCUUGUUCCUCUUAGAAUAUAAUAUAUCUUUGUUUUCAAAAAUGGUAAAUGGUUUGUGACUUCAGUUGGAUGCAUUUCAAUGUUUUAUCUUCUCACCUUUCCUGUGGUCAAGUAUGAUGUAUACUUUUGUGUUAGAAACUUAGACCAAUUAGCUAUUCAAGUGUUCACUUGGCAUCGGUUUCUUUAAUAACAUAUGUAAGGACUUCUAUAUUUCUAUGGAAUGCCUUUGUUCAAUUUGUCGAGUAUCUGCUUUCUAAAAAAAUUGAAGCUGGACAAAGCCCUUUAAGUUGCAGUCAACUGAUAUAUUCAUGAAGAUGCUGUUAUGGAUUCCUUUUUUGACUGAUUGACUUCCUAUUUGUUUUUCUUUGCUAGGUUUUGCAUUUUCUUCUAUAUGAUGUGGCUUCCCGGAAAUUUAUUACAGAUGGUUUUUACUAUUAGUAUUUAGCCUUUUUGUUUGGUACUUGUAAAUCGAUAGUUAAUCUGUAGAUAAAAUGGAACCAAAGGGGGUUGGAUUGUUAGAUAGUGGCCGUAGGACUGUGGUUGGAGCAAAGAGUAAAGUGGCUUCUCAGAAUUUGGCACAUUUGUUUAGAGCCAGCAGUGAGAAAAUAUCAAUUCAAUCCAACUGUGAUAGCAAGCUUGAGAAGAGGAAAAGGAUCGUUGACUGCGAGUCUAAUUGUCAAUCACAUCUCAGGAAAUCUGUACACAAGAACUACCUGAACUUCAAGAGAAGCAGACUGCCGCAACGUGUACUGUUUUAUCAGAACGGUGAAUGGACCGACUUCCCUCAAGAUAUUAUUCCUAUAGUUAAAGAAGAUUUUCGGGCAAAAAAGGCAGUUUUUGAGGUGAAAGUUUGUGACUUUCAUAUAAUUCUUGAUACUUUACAUAUGGUUCAAAUAGAUAUGAUAAAUGGUUUACAGAAACCUAUUGCCUGGAUAGAUGAAGUAGGUAGGUGUUUCUUCCCUGAGUCGUAUCUUAUCAGUAGUGAAAUGCAUGGGAAUUUUGAAACCCUGUCAAAGAGAACUGAAGAGUUCAUGACAAUUGAGCCAGCUAGGAUAACUGAUAUUAAGUUGCAACUCGACAUUGACUUAAAUGGACUGGAUAAUCGUAAUUUGGAAGAAGAUGUGGAAGAGUCAAAUAUCGGUUAUAAGAGGAUUAAAGUAUAUCCUCCUAAAGACAGUCAAGAAUUUGCUGAUUAUAAAAAAUCAGAUGCAAAAAUGGAACAAGUUGCAGAAAAUAAACAGAACCAGGAAACACCAUCUCCUGACUUAGUAGCUAGCCUGAAAUUGGUGAAUGCAGAAUCUGUCGAAAAUAUGUUUAUUAUGGGAAUGAAUGUUAUCCCCAACAAGGAUGAGAUCAAAAUUACCAAAUGCUCUAGUAAUUAUUUGAGAACUCGCUUGGAACUCUUUGAGAAGCAGGUUGAAAUAACGCAAAAAUAUCGUGGAAACGCAAAUGUUCGAUAUGCUUGGCUUGCCGCUUCCAAAGAUUUGAUAUCUACAAUUAUGAAGUACGGCCUUGCACCUGGAGGACCUAAGUAUAGGCCUAAAUUUGGAGUUGGAGUUCACCUUAGUGCUCUCCAUUGUGCCUCCAAAAGUGCCAUUAAUUGCGAUGCUGAUGAAAAUGGCGUACAUUACAUGGUUUUUGCUCGUGUAAUUUUGGGUAAUGUGGAACCUUUGCACUGCGGAUCUGAACAAUGGCAUCCCAGUGACGAAAAAAUACGAUACUGGAGUUGAUGAUCUCGAGAAUCCUACUCAUUAUGUUGUUUGGAAUAUGAAUUUGAAUACAUAUAUAUACCCAGUGUGUGUUGUGAGCUUCAAAAUUCCUCCAGGAGCUGAAGGAACCCGCUUUGGAAAUGAUAGUCGGAUUGAUGUCUCAGGUGUCAAUACUUGUCCUCGGGGCCCUGUGGAACAGGGAAGUCAUCGUUAUCAAAUAUCACUGGUUAAGUUGGCCCUAGAAGAGGCUGCGAGGAUUCCAAAGUCCCUUGGGGUGCCAUUUUCCUUGUUGAUUGAUGCAAUCUCCAAUGAAGUAACUGCCGAGAAAAUGAACCAUGUUACUAGAAAUCUUGAGUUGCUUGAGUUCAAGAAGAUAUGUAGGGAUGAAUUUGAGAAACGGUUGAGGUUUAUCGAAGGCGAUACUCUGUUGAAGUCCACAAUGAAAAGUUUGCUGUGCAAGAUACAAUCUAAACCCAUUGAAUUGGUUCAGCCAAAGCAAGAGCCACAAAGUGCUGCCUUCAAAGGAAAUACUGCCCAAUUCCAUUGGCUAGAGCCACAGACCGAGUAACUGUGUUUAUGU